CCUACGGGAGGCAGCAGUGAGGAAUAUUGGUCAAUGGGCGCGAGCCUGAACCAGCCAAGUCGCGUGAGGGAAGACGGUCCUAUGGAUUGUAAACCUCUUUUGUCGGGGAGCAAAAGACGCCACGCGUGGCGUUCCGCGAGUACCCGAAGAAAAAGCAUCGGCUAACUCCGUGCCAGCAGCCGCGGUAAUACGGAGGAUGCGAGCGUUAUCCGGAUUUAUUGGGUUUAAAGGGUGCGCAGGCGGAAGAUAAAGCCAGCGGUAAAAUUGGGGGGCUCAACCUCUUCGAGCCGUUGAAACUGGUUGUCUUGAGUGAGCGAGAGGUAUGCGGAAUGCGUGGUGUAGCGGUGAAAUGCAUAGAUAUCACGCAGAACUCCGAUUGCGAAGGCAGCAUACCGGCGCUCAACUGACGCUCAUGCACGAAAGUGUGGGUAUCGAACAGGAUUAGAUACCCUUGUAGUC
This 459-nucleotide ribosomal RNA is filed under the name uncultured bacterium. Its description in RNAcentral is "partial 16S ribosomal RNA". It matches the Rfam family "Bacterial small subunit ribosomal RNA", at positions 338 to 795 of the family's 1533-position model. The record is from RNAcentral.